RNAcentral lists this ribosomal RNA (253 nucleotides) under uncultured bacterium. RNAcentral's name for it is "partial 16S ribosomal RNA". It matches the Rfam family "Bacterial small subunit ribosomal RNA", at positions 524 to 776 of the family's 1533-position model. The record is from RNAcentral.
UACGGAGGGUGCAAGCGUUGUUCGGAUUUAUUGGGCGUAAAGCGCGUGUAGGCGGUUUCUUAAGUCUGAUGUGAAGGCCCUGGGCUCAACCCAGGAAGUGCAUUGGAUACUGGGAAACUUGAAUACGGGAGAGGGUAGUGGAAUUCCUAGUGUAGGAGUGAAAUCCGUAGAUAUUAGGAGGAACACCGGUGGCGAAGGCGGCUCACUGGCCCGGUACUGACGCUCAUGUGCGAAAGCGUGGGGAGCAAACAGG